RNAcentral lists this ribosomal RNA (560 nucleotides) under Lomamyia banksi. Its description in RNAcentral is "partial 16S ribosomal RNA". It matches the Rfam family "Bacterial large subunit ribosomal RNA", at positions 1784 to 2619 of the family's 2925-position model. Lineage: Eukaryota; Metazoa; Arthropoda; Insecta; Neuroptera; Berothidae. The record is from RNAcentral.
GACCAGGCCGCUUGUUUAUCAAAAACAUGUCUUUUUGAAAAUAAUAUAAAGUCUGACCUGCCCACUGAAAGUUUUGAAGGGCCGCGGUAUAUUGACUGUGCAAAGGUAGCAUAAUCAUUUGUCUCUUAAUUGGAGGCUAGAAUGAAUGGUUGAAUGAGGUAUUAACUGUCUCAUUUUAAUAAAUUUAAAAAUUUAAUUUUUUAGUCAAAAAGCUAAAAUUUUAUUGGAGGACGAGAAGACCCUAUAAAUCUUUAUUUAAUUAGAAUAUUUUAAUAGUAGAAAAUAAUAAUUAAAUUAAUUUAAUUAAAUUUUAUUGGGGUGAUAGGAAAAUUAAAUAAACUUUUUUUAAUUUAAACAUUGAUUUAUGAUAAUUUGAUCCAUUAUGAGUGAUUAAAAGUUUAAGAUACUUUAGGGAUAACAGCGUAAUUUUUUUAGAGAGUUCAUAUCGAUAAAAAAGAUUGCGACCUCGAUGUUGAAUUAAAGAUAAAUUUUAAAUGCAGAAGUUUAAAAAUUAGGUCUGUUCGACCUUUGAAUCCUUACAUGAUCUGAGUUCAAACCGG